GGGGAAUAUUGCACAAUGGGGGAAACCCUGAUGCAGCGACGCCGCGUGGAGGAAGAAGGUCUUCGGAUUGUAAACUCCUGUUGUUGGGGAAGAUAAUGACGGUACCCAACAAGGAAGUGACGGCUAACUACGUGCCAGCAGCCGCGGUAAAACGUAGGUCACAAGCGUUGUCCGGAAUUACUGGGUGUAAAGGGAGCGCAGGCGGGAAGACAAGUUGGAAGUGAAAUCUAUGGGCUCAACCCAUAAACUGCUUUCAAAACUGUUUUUCUUGAGUAGUGCAGAGGUAGGCGGAAUUCCCGGUGUAGCGGUGGAAUGCGUAGAUAUCGGGAGGAACACCAGUGGCGAAGGCGGCCUACUGGGCACCAACUGACGCUGAGGCUCGAAAGUGUGGGUAGCAAAC
This 400-nucleotide ribosomal RNA is filed under the name uncultured bacterium. RNAcentral describes it as "bacterial SSU rRNA". It matches the Rfam family "Bacterial small subunit ribosomal RNA", at positions 356 to 773 of the family's 1533-position model. The record is from RNAcentral.